AGGUACUAAAUGGAGAAAUUAGCAAAGUAUAUAGACAUAUAUCAGAAUAUAGAGUACAGUUCCACAGAAUUACUGUUCUGCAGAAAAAUAUACAGAGAUGCUGUAACCAGGCAACAAAAAUAGAUGAUUUAAUCAGAUAUAAUCCUGAUCUCUCAGAAAGGGAUAUAGGAACAGAAUAUCCCCUCUCCAGUCUACAAGUACAGCUAGGCAAUGACUUACAGAAAUGUAUUGUUGUUUUAUAUGAUAAAUGGACAAAUAAUGGAGUCCUCUAUAGCCCACCUGAUUG
Molecule: long non-coding RNA, 286 nt
Organism: Ruditapes philippinarum (Manila clam)
Lineage: Eukaryota; Metazoa; Mollusca; Bivalvia; Venerida; Veneridae
Exons: 3
Source: RefSeq, a predicted model, not a curated record